UGAGGUAGAAGACCCGAGUGAAGUGAAGAGGUAAGGUUUCCUGGCUAAAAUAAAAUAGAAUAUUUGCUCCGGAAGGUGAAAAACUAUUGAAUUGUUGAGAAUGUUUAGAAAGAUACAAGAGUAGUAGUAAGUAAUAUACACACAAGAGAGUUUCUAAGGAGAGAGAGAGCUUCACACAAAAGUCUAUUGAUCUAGUUGUGUCUUGUAUACAAGAGGAGAAAGGACGAGGAUAAACAGUUCGUCUCUACUAUAUUUCAAGUACUGUAGCUAUAGUACUUACUAUAGACUACUUACUAUAGACUACAGUAAAUAUUAUGGAGAGCGUCAGCUACAUUUAAUGCUCUCAACACUCC
Molecule: long non-coding RNA, 353 nt
Filed under: Physcomitrium patens
Lineage: Eukaryota; Viridiplantae; Streptophyta; Bryopsida; Funariales; Funariaceae
Description: long non-coding RNA (PPAT_LNC010958)
Source: RNAcentral